RNAcentral lists this long non-coding RNA (785 nucleotides) under Zostera marina. RNAcentral's name for it is "long non-coding RNA (ZMAR_LNC001227)". Lineage: Eukaryota; Viridiplantae; Streptophyta; Magnoliopsida; Alismatales; Zosteraceae. The record is from RNAcentral.
UUGGUGGAGGGGGAGAGGAGUAAAUGUAGGGAUGCGGUUCCGAUUUCUCCGGAGGAGGUGGAGAUUCGUAGUGGUAUGGAGGAGGUGGUGAUUUUUCUGGUGGUGGUGGGGACUUGUAGUGGUAUGGAGGAGGAGGUGAGUGCUCCGGUGGCGGUGGAGAUUUGUAGUAGUAUGGAGGAGGAGGCGAGUGCACCGGUGGCGGUGGGGAUUUGUAGUAGUAUGGGGGAGGAGGUGAGUGCACCGGUGGCGGUGGGGAUUUGUAGUAGUAUGGAGGAGGUGGAGAGUGCACCGGAGGUGGUGGGGAUUUGUAAUAGUAUUUAGGAGAAGGGGGUGGCGGUGACUUGUAAUAGUAUUUGGGAGAAGGUGGCUUGUAGUAAUACGUUGGUGCGGGUGGCGGCGGCGACUUGUAGUAGUAUUUUGGAGAAGGUGGUGGUGGCGAUUUGUAGUGGUAUUUGGGAGAAGGCGGUGGUGGUGACUUGUAGUGGUAUUUUGGAGAAGGUGGUGGUGGCGAUUUGUAGUAGUAUUUGGGAGAAGGCGGCUUGUAGUGAUACGUUGGUGCCGGUGGCGGUGGUGACUUGUAAUAAUACGUCGGUGUGGGAGGCGGAGGAGACUUGUAAUAAUAAGUCGGCGGAGGUGGCUUGCAGUAAGGUACCGGAGAAUGAUGGUGGUGGUGAUGAUGAUGGUGUCUUUUCUCAUAGCAAUCCUUGUAAGGAGUCUUGGGUGCAUAAGCAAAUUUCUUUGACUUGUACACAACCUCGACGUGAUUUCUCGACUUAAUGUGGAGC